RNAcentral lists this non-coding RNA (32 nucleotides) under Homo sapiens (human). Lineage: Eukaryota; Metazoa; Chordata; Mammalia; Primates; Hominidae. The record is from RNAcentral.
UUCUUUGCCACGUGCAGGCUUCUCCCUGCCCA